GAAGUGCGAUAAGCAAUGCGAAUUGCAGAACCGUGAGUCAUCAGAUUUUUGAACGCAACUGGCGCUAGGUGGUUAUCCACCUAGCAUGCUUGUUUCAGUGUCUUUUUAUUUCCUAACCGAAAUCAUAAUGCGAGAGAUACCCUUCUCUUGUUAAGCAUGAAAGCACUCUGCGCUCUGCGAGCGGCUUCGGUCGCACUCAAUGCAGCAGUCACAUUGUUUACAGUGUGAACUCAUUGAGAGUAGAGGCAGUGCGGUGUAACAACUGCCAGUGCUUAGACACUCAAACUUUUCUUGUAUCUGAAAUCAAGCAGGAUCACCCGCUGAACUUAA
This 330-nucleotide unclassified non-coding RNA is filed under the name uncultured fungus. Its description in RNAcentral is "sequence contains ITS1". The stretch from base 1 to 103 matches the Rfam family "5.8S ribosomal RNA", at positions 50 to 154 of the family's 154-position model. The record is from RNAcentral. Lineage: Eukaryota; Fungi.